This 206-nucleotide ribosomal RNA is filed under the name uncultured bacterium. Its description in RNAcentral is "partial 16S ribosomal RNA". It matches the Rfam family "Bacterial small subunit ribosomal RNA", at positions 568 to 774 of the family's 1533-position model. The record is from RNAcentral.
UACGUAGGCGGUUAAAUAAGUCAGGUGUAAAAGGCAUUGGCUCAACCAAUGUAAGCACUUGAAACUGUUUGACUUGAGUAUAGGAGAGGUAAGUGGAAUUCCUAGUGUAGCGGUGAAAUGCGUAGAUAUUAGGAGGAACACCAGUGGCGAAGGCGACUUACUGGACUAUUACUGACGCUGAGGUACGAAAGCCAGGGAAGCGAACG